This 253-nucleotide ribosomal RNA is filed under the name uncultured bacterium. Its description in RNAcentral is "partial 16S ribosomal RNA". It matches the Rfam family "Bacterial small subunit ribosomal RNA", at positions 524 to 776 of the family's 1533-position model. The record is from RNAcentral.
UACAGAGGGGGCAAGCGUUAUUCGGAAUUAUUGGGCGUAAAGGGCGCGUAGGCGGCCUGACAAGUGGAAGGUGAAAUCCCUCGGCUUAACCGAGGAACUGCCCUCCAAACUGUUUGGCUUGAGACCGGGAGAGGUGAGUGGAAUUCCCAGUGUAGCGGUGAAAUGCGUAGAUAUUGGGAGGAACACCAGUGGCGAAGGCGGCUCACUGGACCGGUACUGACGCUGAGGCGCGAAAGCCAGGGGAGCAAACGGG